UUGUAGUUAAAGUAUAACCACAGAAUGUGCUGAGAAUAUAACAUCUUGAGAUAGGGAAGAACUGCCUGAAACAGCUCAGGGCUUGUUCCUCUCUUUGCUGAGGAAUGUGACAUCUUGAGUUAAGAACUGCUUUGUUCUUCUCUCCUCUAGAAGCCAAAUGUCCUCCACAGCUUUGCCCAGUGGGACACAUGGCUCCUGACAUACGUAACCCAGGAUGGGAUGCCUUGUUGGAGUCUCUCAGAUAUGGAGCAAAAUGGGCCAUGUGCAGUCAAGACGCCAUCUACCCUGGGCAGCUUGCCUAAGCCUCGAGGGACCUGCCAAUGAUGGAUCUGAGACCUCUUCUGUCCCUGGCUGCCUAUCUGUCUGGUCCUCAUCAAGAACCCAGUGUUCCCACCCGAGAUGGAGACGUGAAUAAUCUUCCUAAGCCUAAUCCUGCCAGAAGCGUGAAGCAAGGGGGAAUUUGGAAGGCGGAACAGGAAAGAGUGGAAGUUUAGUUUACCGCUCUCCAAAAUAGAAGCUCUUUUCCCUGAGAUAGAAGCAAGAUGCUGCAAGAGAAAGGGUCAGAGAAACUGGAUUCAAUUUUAAUUUAGCCUGGAUGCUGAAAUAACCCUAUCUCUACUAAAUGCCAAAUCUUCACAUUCUCUUGGCCAACAAAGUGACUCCAGUGUUGCCACGGCAACCGUCUGUGGGUAGGCAUGAAGGACAGCACCUCACCUUAGCUGCAGCAGCCCACACACACAGCUCACUUUCUGCCUGGACUCCUCUGCCUGCAGCUGGUAUCGGGCCUGUUGGAAUUUGCUCAUCCAUUUCAUCGUGGGCCAGUGUGAAAUGGCACAGUGGAGUUUCUUUGAGGCUACAUGGUGAGAGAAGAUGUCACCGCUCUGACUGACAUACAUAAUGAUGUGUGUGUGUGUGUGUGUGUGUGUGUGUGUGUGUGUUUAGUUUUAAUUUCAAGUAUGGGAAAUAUAAAGAGAUAUAAUAUUUUAAAAACCAAUGGUUUGGUGGCUGUCAAUAUUCUUUAAGACUGCAAAAGUGUUCAGAGACAGAAUUUUGAGACUAGAACACUGUAUCAGAAUUUUGAGACUGAAACAGUGUCCUGUACAUUCAGAGUUGAAGACACUCCCAUGAGCACUAGAUAUGAAUGUGGGUGGAUAGGCCAUGACAGCAAAUGGCCCUGCCUUUAUUACCUGACUCACUUGUACCACAAUAGUCCCAACAUCACUCACUCCUCAUUUAUUCUUUAGGGAACUAUUUGAACUCUUUCAGAAGACGGACUCCUCGAUAAAGCAGUAGUACUCCUGUUUCCAACAUUUCACAUUAUUGUAAGUUGCAUUACAGUGAACAGAAUUUUAUUGAAGCACAAGGGCUAUAUUUCAGGUUCUACUGAGUGUAUCAUUUUGUUUUGUCAGACACUUUUAUGGAUAAUUAUGGAUGAAAAUUUAUAAAAAAUCUAAAAGUCAUCAUUGACUCUUUUCUCGCUUAACCUGCGUAAUCAAUUGGUCGAGUCCUAUUGAUUUUUCUCCUCAAUAGCUCUCCAAUUUCUCUUCUUCUCUGUGUCUCCACCGCAUCAAUAUAGUUCAAGCAACCAUCACUCUCCCCUAAUUCAUUAGAGCAGCAUUCUACCUGUCACCAAUCCACUGGGAUGAAUUCAAAGGAACUGAUCUUAGUAUUUCAUUUCAACAAUUGUCUUCUUGAAAUACUGUUAAAAAUAUUGUCAUUUUUUGCUUUGCCCCCACUCCUGGGUGGGCCAAACUCUCAAUGAAUCAUGACAUUGAACCCUGCUUGGAAUGGGUUGUUCAGCAGUGCAUAGAAGGUGCCUGACAGCUGUGUGCAUCAAUCCAGAUCCUUUCAGUCUGUGCCUUGCACCGAGUCUGCAUACAUCUAGAUAAAAUGAAUCUGUCAGCCUACUUUGACAAUAAAAUGAUGGGGAUAUGAAAAGCUGAAUUAAAUCUAAGACCAGGUGAAUUCUGAGAGAAGUCAGGAUAGAGAAUAACCAUCAUAGAGAUAGGAAAUCUUAGACUAUUCCAAUUCUGAAUUCUAAUAAAUGUAGCUAAAAAACAUCAGAUUAAAAGUGUUUGUCAGGUAUGUGUCUUGGAACUAAAGGUAUUUUCCAUGUUAAAUAUAAUUAAAUGAUCUACAGAAUAAAAGAAUGUCUCAAAAAUAUUUAUCAAUAUUUCCUAUCAGAGAAAUGUUACUUAUAAAUAUUUAUUAUAUUUUGGAUAAUAAAUGAGUAUAAAAGGUGACUUAAGGAGUAUGUUUCUCUCUAUCAAAUUAAUAAUGUGUAAAUUAUAUAAGCAAUUGUUUAAAAAUUUUUUUUUCAAUGGAUAAAUAAAAUAUAUAUUUUUUCAAUGGAUAAAUAAAAUAUUUUAAAAGGUAAAUUAGUAACUUACACAAAUAAUCAUACUGAUUAGUUUAAGCAUUCAUUAGAAAAAUUACUUCUGAGGCUUUCAUAAAAAAAAUACUGUGUUAUUCAACAUACCUUUACAUACCAUUUAUUAUUAGUGUCAAUGAUAUAACUUUCAAUUAGACCUAGCUAUGUUCUUGAAGGACUUCAUGGUCCCUUAGCAGAACACGAGGCAAUAAUGAUCACUUUCUGGGAAAAACUACACUAGGAAAAUGUGAGAAUCUGAUGCACUAAGCUAUCCUAGCUUUUGGGAUAUGCACUGUCUAGCAUUAUCAGCAUUGUUGGUGAGAUCUCACUAACAUGCAGACGUGUGAAAAGUAAAAUCACAUUUUGUCCUAGUAGAGAUACAAAUUGGAUUUUUUUUCCCCAGUAAGUAAUCUGAAUGAAAUAUUUCUGAAAUUAAAACCUCAAAUGUAAAGGAGGAUAAAUGGGUCUUAUUUUAUUUAAUUUAUUUAUUUUUUUGUAGCCAGUUUGGAACAGAGCAGUUAGUUUAUGGCUUAAGACUGUAUAACAUCUUGAAGGACUGAUUUUCAGUAAAUGUACAUGAUAUAGGACUGUAUACAACUCUUCAAAAUACAAAUAUUUCAACACUGUCAAUUAAAUAAAACCUGCAACAAUUGAUAAGAAAAAGUCUCAUUUUAAAAAUUCCAGGUUGCGUAUCAAAGCAAGAUGCUAUACUCUUUUUUUGGAGCCUCUUCAAUUCUAAGGAGUCCUAGGGUCACUUAAUGGAACUCUACACUUAGCAAGCUGUUAAAAUUUCUUCUUCCUUAGUAACUGAGCAGCAAACGUCCUACUUGGUUUGAUCUGAGCAGCAUAAAUGAAUAUAAAAAACGAGAGGGAACAAAUCUUUAAAAGAUCUAAUAAUAUCAAAAUAUGGUUAUGCUGUACGAAAGUUAUCUAGUUCUUUAGUGAUAUGUUUUACUCCUAUUGUAAUCAAGUUAUGAAUCAUACAUCUAACUAGAUCUAUGUAAACUGGUAAAUAUAAUAAAUGGUUUUACCUUGAACU
Molecule: long non-coding RNA, 3410 nt
Filed under: Homo sapiens (human)
Lineage: Eukaryota; Metazoa; Chordata; Mammalia; Primates; Hominidae
Description: HSALNT0395039
Source: RNAcentral